Molecule: long non-coding RNA, 373 nt
Filed under: Ananas comosus (pineapple)
Lineage: Eukaryota; Viridiplantae; Streptophyta; Magnoliopsida; Poales; Bromeliaceae
Description: long non-coding RNA (ACOM_LNC039059)
Source: RNAcentral
CGCCCUUGCCUUUGCCCGCGCACGCCCUGCCCUCCUCGCCUCCGACCCUGCCAAGGCUGCGCCACGACCCCUUUUUUAUUUUUUUCCUCUUCGACCCUCCUCCACCCGUUGUCCUCACCGCCACCACCGACGACAAAGAGGAAAUGCUUCUCGGGCCCAGAAGGACCCCGGCGAGGAAGGGGGAGAAAAAUAGUUAUACUUUGACGAGGCAAUGGUUGCAAUUGAUGGCAAGAGAGAGGUCGUGAUAAAAAAAUUAUAGAGCGAAAGAAAAUAAGAAUAAUAAAAAAAUAAAAAUAAAAAAUAAUUUUUUCUACAGGAAAGACCAAAUUAUAGAAGAAGGAAGAAGAUGAUGAAAUUGUACUGCUAAAAUAAA